Molecule: ribosomal RNA, 497 nt
Filed under: uncultured bacterium
Lineage: Bacteria
Description: partial 16S ribosomal RNA
Rfam family: Bacterial small subunit ribosomal RNA
Source: RNAcentral
GAUGAUCGCUGGCGGCGUGCCUAAUACAUGCAAGUCGAGCGAACGGCCGAGAAGCUUGCUUCUCUGAUGUUAGCGGCGGACGGGUGAGUAACAUGUGGAUAACCUACUUAUAAGCCUGGGAUAACUUCGGGAAACCGGAGCUAAUACCGGAUAAUAUUUUGAACCGCAUGGUUCAAAAGUGAAAGACGGUCUUGCUGUCACUUAUAGAUGGAUCCGCGCUGCAUUAGCUAGUUGGUAAGGUAACGGCUGACCAAGGCAACGAUGCAUAGCCGACCUGAGAGGGUGAUCGGCCACACUGGAGCUGAGACGCGGUCCAGACUCCUACGGGAGCCAGCAGUAGGCAAUCGUGCGCGAUGGGGGAGGACCGGACGGGGCAGCACCGAGUGAGUGAUGAUGGUCGGCGGAUCGGAAAACUCUGUUAUUAGGGAAAAACAUAUGUGUAAGUAGCUGUGCACAUCUUGACGGUACCUAGUCAGAGAGCCACGGCUAACUACGUG